This 910-nucleotide ribosomal RNA is filed under the name Exophiala dermatitidis. RNAcentral's name for it is "LSU rRNA". It matches the Rfam family "Eukaryotic large subunit ribosomal RNA", at positions 38 to 965 of the family's 3401-position model. Lineage: Eukaryota; Fungi; Ascomycota; Eurotiomycetes; Chaetothyriales; Herpotrichiellaceae. The record is from RNAcentral.
GCAUAUCAAUAAGCGGAGGAAAAGAAACCAACAGGGAUGCCUCAGUAACGGCGAGUGAAGCGGCAACAGCUCAAAUUUGAAAUCUGGCCUCUUUGGGGUCCGAGUUGUAAUUUGUAGAGGAUGUUUCGGGCACCGCUCCGGUUUAAAUUUCUUGGAACAGAAUGUCAAAGAGGGUGAGAACCCCGUCUUGGACCGGCAGUAGGGCCCAUGUGAAACUCCUUCGACGAGUCGAGUUGUUUGGGAAUGCAGCUCAAAAUGGGUGGUAAAUUUCAUCUAAAGCUAAAUAUUGGCCAGAGACCGAUAGCGCACAAGUAGAGUGAUCGAAAGAUGAAAAGCACUUUGAAAAGAGAGUUAAACAGUACGUGAAAUUGUUGAAAGGGAAGCGCUUGCAACCAGACUUGCGCGCGGCGGUUCCCCCUUCCUUUUGGUUGGGUUAUUCCGCCGUGUCCAGGCCAACAUCGGUUCUGGGGGUCGGUUAAAGGCCUGGGGAAUGUAUCUACCCUUCGGGCGUAGACUUAUAGCCCCGGGUGUCAUGCGACCUCCCGGGACCGAGGAACGCGCUUCGGCUCGGAUGUUGGCGUAAUGGUUGUCAGCGACCCGUCUUGAAACACGGACCAAGGAGUCUAACAUCUAUGCGAGUGUUUGGGUGUCAAACCCGGAACGCGGAAUGAAAGUGAACGGAGGUAGGAAGCUUCGGCUGCACUAUCGACCGAUCCUGAUGUCUUCGGAUGGAUUUGAGUAAGAGCAUAGCUGUUGGGACCCGAAAGAUGGUGAACUAUGCCUGAAUAGGGUGAAGCCAGAGGAAACUCUGGUGGAGGCUCGCAGCGGUUCUGACGUGCAAAUCGAUCGUCAAAUUUGGGUAUAGGGGCGAAAGACUAAUCGAACCAUCUGGUAGCUGGUUCCUGCCGAA